Molecule: transfer RNA, 67 nt
Filed under: Staurois latopalmatus (Sabah splash frog)
Lineage: Eukaryota; Metazoa; Chordata; Amphibia; Anura; Ranidae
Description: tRNA-Tyr
Rfam family: tRNA
About the family: Transfer RNA (tRNA) molecules are approximately 80 nucleotides in length.
Source: RNAcentral
GGUAAAGUAGCCUAGUAGGCGGUGGGUUGUAGCCCCGACGACGGGGGUUCAAGUCCCUCCUUUACUA